RNAcentral lists this ribosomal RNA (431 nucleotides) under uncultured bacterium. RNAcentral describes it as "partial 16S ribosomal RNA". It matches the Rfam family "Bacterial small subunit ribosomal RNA", at positions 338 to 795 of the family's 1533-position model. The record is from RNAcentral.
CCUACGGGAGGCAGCAGUGAGGAAUUUUGGACAAUGGGGGAAACCCUGAUCCAGCCAUGCCGCGUGAGUGAUGAAGGCCUUCGGGUUGUAAAGCUCUUUCAGAUGUGAAGCGGUAGCAUCAGAAGAAGCUCCGGCUAACUCCGUGCCAGCAGCCGCGGUAAUACGGAGGGAGCGAGCGUUGUUCGGAAUUACUGGGCGUAAAGCGUAUGUAGGCGGUUUUUUAAGACAGAUGUGAAAUCCCAGAGCUUAACUUUGGAACUGCAUUUGUGACUGGAAGACUCGAGUAUUGGAGAGGUUGGCGGAAUUCCUAGUGUAGCAGUGAAAUGCGCAGAUAUUAGGAGGAACACCGAUGGCGUAAGCAGCCAACUGGCAUUACUGACGCUGAGAUACGAAAGUAUGGGGAGCAAACAGGAUUAGAUACCCUUGUAGUC